GUUUUGAUGAAUACUGAUGUUUUGGAAGCUUGGUUGAGGGAGAAUGAGGGGAAGAUUAGCAGUGAUUUCGAAGCUGAUGACGCGUUUGAUUGUGUUGAUGUGCUUUCAAAGCAAGUGCUUGAGUGUACUGCUUCAGAUUUAGCAAUAGAAGAUGCUAUAUAUUCAUUGGAUAAGGCUGUGCAGGAUGGGGCAAUACAAUUCGAUCAGUACUUGAGGAAUGUGAGAUUGUUGUCACGGGAGCAGUUUUUUCACCGGGCUACAGCUGCCAAAGUCAGGGCAUCUCAGUUGCAAGCUCAAGUUGCUAACAUGGCUUCCCGGAUUUCUCAAUAUUCUAAUGGCUGAAAUAUUGUGGCAAAUUUUCCCUUUAGAGCAGCAAUGCACUGCUUGAUUUCUGCUAUUUGGAUGGCCUUCAGGGGUAUUGCUGGAAGGUUAGAAUUUUGUGAAUUU
RNAcentral lists this unclassified non-coding RNA (447 nucleotides) under Hevea brasiliensis (rubber tree). Lineage: Eukaryota; Viridiplantae; Streptophyta; Magnoliopsida; Malpighiales; Euphorbiaceae. The record is from RNAcentral.